This 549-nucleotide unclassified non-coding RNA is filed under the name Hevea brasiliensis (rubber tree). Lineage: Eukaryota; Viridiplantae; Streptophyta; Magnoliopsida; Malpighiales; Euphorbiaceae. The record is from RNAcentral.
UAUACAUAUAUAUAUAUAUAAAAUUUCGGAAAUCAAUGGGUGCUCGAGCACCCGCGUCUGGCUUACUGGGUCCGCCCCUGCUUCAUAGCUAUAGCCUCUCUCUUUGAAGCAAUAGACAAUAAAAGGUGCUUUAAUUAUAUUAAGCUACUACACCUUGUACUUGUACAGUUGUACAAAAUAUCAUUUCAUAAAAAUCUGGAAUUUUUGACCAAAAUAAGUCAUUUUAUAAAUCAAUUCAUCAAAAUAGUAUGUUUUUAAUUUUGUUUACAAAACUAGUAUAAACGUGGUUCACAGUAACGUUUUAUACUUUAUUUAUUUUUUAAAAAAAUUAUUUUAUUUUAAAAAAUUUAAUGAGAAAAGGGACGGUCUGCUAACGACGUUAAAUAAUAAUACGUAACUGGAAAUUACGUUUUAACUCUAAUACGUUAUUGGGAAUAACGUUUUAAGCAUAUAUAAUUUAAUAAUAAUACGCAACUGGAAAUUACGUUUUAACUCUAAUACGUUAUUGGGAAUAACGUUUUAAGCAUAUAUAAUUUAAUAAUAAUACGC